Molecule: unclassified non-coding RNA, 187 nt
Filed under: soil metagenome
Description: partial internal transcribed spacer 1
Source: RNAcentral
CAGAGUUGCAAAACUCCCACAAACCAUCGCGAAUCUUACCCGUACGGUUGCCUCGGCGCUGGCGGUCCGGAAGGCCCUCGGGCCCCCCGGAUCCUCGGGUCUCCCGCUCGCGGGAGGCUGCCCGCCGGAGUGCCGAAACCAAACUCUUGAUAUUUUAUGUCUCUCUGAGUAAACUUUUAAUAAGUCA